RNAcentral lists this ribosomal RNA (398 nucleotides) under uncultured bacterium. RNAcentral describes it as "bacterial SSU rRNA". It matches the Rfam family "Bacterial small subunit ribosomal RNA", at positions 358 to 773 of the family's 1533-position model. The record is from RNAcentral.
GGAAUAUUGGACAAUGGGGGAAACCCUGAUCCAGCCAUGCCGCGUGCGUGAAGAAGGCCCUAGGGUUGUAAAGCGCUUUCGGCGGGGAAGAUGAUGACGGUACCCGCCAAAGAAGCCCCCGCUAACUCCGUGCCAGCCGCCGCGGUAAUACGGAGGGGGCUAGCGUUGUUCGGAAUUACUGGGCGUAAAGGGCGCGUAGGCGGACCAUCAAGUCAGAGGUGAAAGGCCUGGGCUCAACCCGGGAACUGCCUUUGAAACUGAAGGUCUAGAGUCCGAGAGAGGAUAGUGGAAUUCCCAGUGUAGAGGUGAAAUUCGUAGAUAUUGGGAAGAACACCAGUGGCGAAGGCGGCUAUCUGGCUCGGAACUGACGCUGAGGCGCGAAAGCGUGGGGAGCAAAC